UAUGAAAUAAUGAAAAAUUUUCAGUUUGCAAAAUUGAAAAUUUACGAUUUUCAUAA
RNAcentral lists this transfer RNA (56 nucleotides) under Pachybrachis sp. ReAss_5. RNAcentral describes it as "tRNA-Cys". Lineage: Eukaryota; Metazoa; Arthropoda; Insecta; Coleoptera; Chrysomelidae. The record is from RNAcentral.